RNAcentral lists this ribosomal RNA (491 nucleotides) under uncultured bacterium. RNAcentral's name for it is "partial 16S ribosomal RNA". It matches the Rfam family "Bacterial small subunit ribosomal RNA", at positions 29 to 507 of the family's 1533-position model. The record is from RNAcentral.
AGUGAACGCUGGCGGUAGGCCUAACACAUGCAAGUCGAACGGCAGCACAGUAAGAGCUUGCUCUUACGGGUGGCGAGUGGCGGACGGGUGAGGAAUACAUCGGAAUCUACUUUUCGUGGGGGAUAACGUAGGGAAACUUACGCUAAUACCGCAUACGACCUACGGGUGAAAGCAGGGGAUCUUCGGACCUUGCGCGAUUGAAUGAGCCGAUGUCGGAUUAGCUAGUUGGCGGGGUAAAGGCCCACCAAGGCGACGAUCCGUAGCUGGUCUGAGAGGAUGAUCAGCCACACUGGAACUGAGACACGGUCCAGACUCCUACGGGAGGCAGCAGUGGGGAAUAUUGGACAAUGGGCGCAAGCCUGAUCCAGCCAUACCGCGUGGGUGAAGAAGGCCUUCGGGUUGUAAAGCCCUUUUGUUGGGAAAGAAAAGCAGCAGGUUAAUACCCCGCUGUGCUGACGGUACCCAAAGAAUAAGCACCGGCUAACUUCGUG